CCGGCAUCCAGAAGGAGGGCGUGUGGAACCUUCUCUGAAAUGAGUACAGCAGCUGCUAACAUUUUCAACCAUGACACGUCCCGUAGCCGCGAGCCUUCCGGCUACAUAAGAAUGAUGUCCCUCACCACCUCUGCAGGCCGUGAAUACCUUCAGGACAGCCUUGUCAAACGUCCCACGGAAGACUUGCAAAUCAAGAUGGAAAACAAGGGCUGGGCGGACAGGUAGGCCCAUUCAGCUGUCACCCCUCCCCCCCGUCCCCACCGUUUGUGCUCCCAUCCUUCAUUUUCAUAGCUCAAUCCUUCUGCCCCUCCGGCUGUCUCCGAGUUAGGUGAGGACGCUGAACCCUGCCUCCACCUCGUGCUGAAGCAUCUGCUUCCUCCUGCCAGCCGUUUGCUCUGCAGGCUUGGAUUAUUAUGGGUCUCAUGUGCCAGCCGGGUCAAAAAAAAGCCUCCUUAUUCCCGUACAGCCCUCAAACUCCAACAGGAAAUAGCUUACAUAAGAUGUCGGCGGCGACAAUAAAUUCUACAGGACAGGAACGGCGUAUAAAAAUGUGCAUAAGCUAUAAUUUAUCGGCAUCGUAAAAUCAUGAGUAAAGACACUAAACCCAUCCCAUGUUGAGAUAACAGAGCUACAAAUAUACAGCCACAGUGUGUAAACUCAG
Molecule: long non-coding RNA, 661 nt
Filed under: Takifugu rubripes (torafugu)
Lineage: Eukaryota; Metazoa; Chordata; Actinopteri; Tetraodontiformes; Tetraodontidae
Description: lncRNA (ENSTRUG00000031948.1)
Source: RNAcentral